This is an RNA transcript of Ictalurus punctatus (channel catfish), 10813 nucleotides long. RefSeq lists it as uncharacterized. The record is from RefSeq and is a predicted model, not a curated record. The transcript has 17 exons. NCBI's taxonomy places the organism in Eukaryota, Metazoa, Chordata, Actinopteri, Siluriformes, Ictaluridae.
AGAGAUCCUGACACUGUACACACUAGCGGAGCGCUACACUGCCAUAGGAAGAAGAGCUGCGCUAACGCGACGAUAGCUAGCUAGUUAUUAUUACAUAUUUUUUUUAUAUCCUGCUUCAAAUCAGACACUGAUCAUUCUGGAGCAGAAACCUCGAAAAUGACCAAGUUGCAGCUCUUGCACCGUGCUCUAAACGAGCGGCUGAUGGCGGCGGUGGAGCAGAUCAUGGAGAUGGUGGGCGGCACGGUGCUGGAGUAUGAAGAGGAGACGGUGAGAGCGCGCAAAGAGAACGAGAUCCUCAGACGGAGGCUCCGGUGGAUGGAGGGAGAAAAUCCGACCGACUGGCCAGAUCCCGCUGCUUUCCCUGUCCCAGGUGAGGCCAGCCUGACAGACACACUAGCACUAGAGUCCCUAAUUAUCAAAACGGAGCCCAUUGACUCCUCAGAUUUCCAGUUAUAUGGACCUGAUGCAAGUCUCACAGCAUCGGUAUGCACUGGCAAUAUGGAAAUGGUUUAUCCUGGUACCAGUGCUCCUGUUGAUGCUGGCAUUCCUGACGGUAUGGUAUGGGACUCGGCACAAAGCUAUAUGGCUCCUCUAGACUUUGACCCCACUCUGUCCACCAUGGCAAGGAACAGGAGUCAGAGGAGGUCCUUUGCCUGCCCAGACUGUGGGAAAGUCUUCGGGAGGGAGCAGAGACUGAUGUUCCACAUGCGUGUCCACUCUGACGAGAGGCCCUAUACAUACCGCAGGCGUAAAACAUGCUUUUAUGGGGACAAGAAACGGAAGAAGAAAUUACGAGGCCUUUCCAAGACAUCAAGAGAGUUCAUAGAGGACCUGUCUGACUCUUCAGAGCAGACAGAGCACAGUACUGGAUCAGCUAACGUCGGUAUCUCAACAAGUGCUGGCCCCACAGCUCCAGAAGUAGAGCCAAGCGAGGCAUCAGAUGAAGCCAGUGAACACACCAGCAGCAGCAAGCUCUCUGAGACCAGUGCAGCCAGACCUGUAGGCCUUAAAGCUAAGCAAGGAAGAGAAAAGGCCAAGACAGCUCAGUGCCUGCAGUGUAACAGAGCCUUCACUAAUUUAUCACGGCUGGCAGUUCACAUGAAGACCCACAGAAAGCCACUUCCCAGCCAAGAUGAACAGAAUAUACAGGGUGACUCUGACAGAACAGACAGUGGAUCACAACAUCUUGCAAAGACAAUAAGGAACAACGACACUGAGGUGGAGAAGGCAAAAGCAAUAGGUCAGAGGCUGUUUCAGUGCCCCGAGUGCAAGAAGAUCUUUGCUCGCUCCUGUUGGCUCACCUUCCACUUGAAGUCACAUGAACGAGAACGUAAGCGGCAGAAAAAGAAGCAGCUUCAAAAUAACAGCCUGAAGGACGUCCCCCAGGUCUCAGAAGAGCCGAAGAAAGAGGUAGCUACUGAAAGCAGCAAAGUUCAAGUACUAAAGAAAAUCUUUGCUUGCCCGUACUGCGAUAAGGUUUUUGCUCGUGAAGGGUGGCUUGGACCACAUAUUCGGAGUCAUACUGCUAAAAAACAAAAGAGUGACAUUAUUUCCGACGCCAUCUUGCCUAAUUCUACUAAGAGAAGGACUCGGCGUGUCGAUACCCAGCCAUCAAUAGAAACUGGCAACGAGCAAAAGAAAAUCUCUGAACAGUCAUUAGGAGAAACUGAAAAUUCUGAAAUAGUCGACGAACAACCAAAAAAUGAGACUUCUGUGUCUCAAAACAUCACCAUGGAGUCAAUAACAAACCCAGAAACCCAAGUAAUAAUCAGUAAUAGCUCUGAAGAUAUCAGUAUUGAACCUGAAAGUAUCAGUAAUGAAACUGAAACAGUCUCAAACAAAAUCACAGAGGAAUCGACUCCAGUCCCUGAGGAAUCUUCCGAACAAAAAGGAGGAGUCAAAAAAUCAAAAAAGAGAUUCCCAUGUCGAGAGUGCGGCAAAGUUUAUUUGCUGGCCGGUUGGUUGAGGACCCACAAGAAGAUGCAUAAAAAAGAGAGAAUUCUGGAGGAGCACAGGAGACAGCUAAUGAUGUUGAAAGAGAUUGGACCAAAUGACAACGAAGAUGGAGGACAGAGCCUGGUGGAGACAAAUGUCGUCGAAAAGAAGCAAAGGAAGAAAAAGAAGACUUUGGGUCUACAGGAAAGUCUUGAUGACAAAAAGAAGAAAAAGAGCCAGCUUACAAAUGCAGUGCUGCUGAAGACUAUGGAUAACUCUUCUGAUGUUCAGACAGCCGCAGACAAAAGCAAAAAACCUGGUGGUGCAACUCGUGGCCAGUGCGUCUGCAAAGACUGCGGCAAAGUGUACGCUAGAAAAAACUGGCUGAGCUUGCACAUGCUUGGCCACAGAAAAGCACUAAUGGCCUUGCCUCAAAAAGCAAAUGACGAGGCACCAAACAAUGAUGGGCAGACGACACAAGAGGGUUCAUCCACUGAGAAUUCGAAAGGUCAAAAAGGAAAAGACGGUGGUAAAGCAUCAUUUCCGUGUCCCUUUUGCGAUAAAGUCUUUCCACGAGCAAUGCGGCUGAUGGUGCACAUGCAGAUCCACUCGGGCGAGAAACCGUACUCCUAUAGACAACGUAAAGAACAGUUUUACACUGACCCAACAAGACCCAGAGUGCCAGAUACAGCCAAACAGGAGCCUGCAGUAGAAGGCAAUGAUGAAAAGGGGAAGGAUGGAGAAAACGAAGUGACUAGGAGUCAGACUUCUGCAGUGUCGCAAGACCAUGCAAGCGCUACAGAGCCUAUGGAAACCGUUCAACCUCAAUCAGUUUGCACUGGUAGAAAAUUCAGCCUCCUUCCUCUGCAGUCAUCUGGUGCUGCUACCAUCCACAGCACAGCUCUUACAAGAACUGACUCAAAAUCAGACAGUAAUUUCAGUUUGCAGCCUAGAAUUGUUCUAGAUCCAGUUAUAGCGGAAUCCAGCCACUCUACAUCAUCUGAAGGGGGUGAAUUUAAACCAGUAAUUGUGGAAACUAGUGACAUUCAGUUGCACCAAAUGCCUGACUUAGAAACGAAUUAUGCUGCUACAGGUGGGCAGGUGAAGAGUCACCUUCCUCAAACUCCACUUGAAAAUUCAAACACUUAUGUCAUCCAAAACCCAUUGGCUGAGACGGAUCAUCCAGAUAUUGUUUGUGUUAAAGUAGGUUCAGUUCAUAAAUAUCAUGAAAAUACCUCCAGCUCUGAAAAGCUGCUUGUCAGUAUAGGGGACCAGCAGACCUCCGAGUCCCCAGAACUCAGAAAGUCUGAAAUUUGCAAAAGGAAGGGUCAGGUAGAAAGCCGAGACUGCUCUUUGUUUGAUGUGAAGCAGCACAAGGUGCGAGGUGAUCCAGAACUUGUGGAAAUGGAUAUACAAUCACAGCAGUCAGGAAGCCAAAUUCAUACCCAUGAGAAGUCAAGGUUUCUUGAUAUUGUAACAACUAAAAAUAUUCCACCCCACUCUGAAUAUCUAAAACGUGGUACAGAUCAAACCUGUAUUUCUGUUAGAAGGUCCACUGAUAUAGCUCUAACAACAGUUCCAGAAUUUGUCUUAACUGAAUCAAGUUCCAGUGCCAUACAUCAAGUGUCUCGUACCGAGUCAGGCUAUAUGAUCCUCUCAGAUGUUAGUGAUGAUGAUGAUGAUGAUGAUGAUGAGUGGGCAAUUGUGUCCAAUAACCCUGAUGAGAAGAAAGAAAAGAAAGCUUUGAAAAUCUCUACCCCGCUUCCUGAGGGGUUGGCUGACGCAGGAUCCGUCCCUAGCUCCUCUCAUAAAGCUAGUGACUCUGACUCAGAUGUUGCGUUUAUGUUAGAAAAGACUGGCGAACAAAAUUUCCCUGAUGGUACACUCACUAACAGAGAUGAGAUGGCAGCCACUUCUGUCCAACAAACAAACGAGCCAAGUUCCACAGGGCAGAAGAGGUGGUUUACAUGUUUGGCAUGUGGUUUAACAUUUGCUGGUGAGGCGUCCUUGACACAGCACAUGAAGGUGCACUCUGUGUCUGCGGGGACCUACCAGAAGUCAAACGCCUUCAAGUCACUCAAGAAGAGGGUCAAGAACAAUGAAACAAAGAUUAAACAACAGGUUGUCCAAGUUCAGACAUCAGAAGUAUGUAGUGCUGAUUCAACAGACAACUCUGAAAUCUCAGGAAAAAGCGACUCAACACUGAUAAAUGUCAAUACAGCUAAGUUAUCUGGAAGUUGCCCAGACAUUGGUGCAACCAGUCAAAGUUCCAGGGCGGCCUCAAAGACAGUUGACAGAAAAUCAAAGAAAGGAAAAAGAAUUCUGCGCUGUUAUUAUUGUGGGAAAGCUUGCGAAAAAAUAGAACUGCAUCUCAUGCAUGAUCACCCAAAGGAACCUAAGGUGAUAGAAGCUUUGCAUUUUAGCAACACCUUAGAAGAAAGGAAGAGAUUAUUGAGUCUUCUUUGCAGUAGCAAAAAAAAGAAACAUUAUUACACUACUAGGAACAAAAAGGAGGAAGACCUUGUUCAUUGUAUCUUUUGUCAGGGGUAUUAUCAACGAAAUCAGUUUUGGAAACAUGCUUUGAUAUGUGAGCAGAAACAACCAAAAGAGUUCAUUGUAACUGAACCUGGCAGCAGUACAGAACUUCCCAACACUAGCCUAAGAUCAUGGCCCAGCUUAGCACAGAAAACCUUUGAUCCAGAAUCUGGGAACCUCAUCAGUACUGUAAAACAGGCCACUCCAGAGUCUGUGAAUCGUUCUUUACCUAAAGCUGAACACCACACUACACAUUAUGUAUAUUCCGUUUCUCCUGUUUCAGAAACUGGCAGUACUGAGGUAAACGCUAUCCCUGAUCACGGAUCAGAGAGCUUGUCCAUUUUAUACACUGGUAACAGCUCAGCAAUGAUGACUCUUGAUUCAGAAUGUUCUGAACCACUCAUUCUAGACUCACUCCACAAUGCACUGGAGUUUCAGGAGUCUUGCCCCUGCACAGUACAGGAAACUCCCCCACUUGGAACCAAGGGCAUUUCAGAAAAAGUACACCAGUCCACUUUGGAACCUGAAAAUGGACUCGAUACCGUUCUACCAACCCAUACCCCAGUUUUAAGCAGUUCUUACCUCCUAGACACUGGGAGCACCAAUCUACAACAAAACACUGAUCAAGAUUGCCAGAGUUCCUCGAAGCACACAUUAGAUUGCAGCGGAAAACAUGUUACGCCUCAAGAAUCAGUGAGCCGUUCGCAUACUGUCAAAUCAGACUGGACUAUCAUACCAACAGCUGUAAGUGUGGACUUGGAGCAAAAUCUUGGCUCUGCUACAGAACCAGAGAGAACCGCCAUAACAAUGCCAGAACUUGCAUCGGAGACGGCUGCCAGAAAUAAUCCUCAUUCAGAAUCAAUCAAUUGUCUAGUUGCAAACUUUUUUAGCAGUGAUGCACAGAAAAAUGCUAACCCAGAAACAGGAGACAUUUCCUUUCAAGUUUUUGGAAAUGAUGAACAUAGAGCCCCUGACAUAGAAUCACAUUAUCUUCUAAUUCCAAAUCAUAUUCCUAGAGAAAAAAAACAAACCACCGGUCCAGAAAUAUACAGUGCAGCAACAAAGCAGUUUGAUUCUGAAGGUCACAUCAGAGAUGACACAGAAGAGGGUGGUAAAUGUACUGGUCAAGACAGUGAUUUGAAACCUCUUGGCUUAAAUUCCACCACAACAGUAAAGUGGAAAUGGGACAGUCCGAGCAGGGAUACAAAGAGAAGACGACAAAGUGACCACUUACAGCAGACAUCAACAGAAGAGAGAAAAACAUCACCAGUCACUUCCCAAGCUCCUGAGAUGAAGCGCUGUUUACAAAUAUCUGAUGUCUGGAACAGUUUGAAAAAGAGCAAAGGAAAAGCUAAAUUAAAACUGAAGAAAAAGCAUUACUGCUUAUAUUGUAAGAAACCUUCCCUCCGAAUGACACAGCAUCUCCUAUCAGCACAUGCUAGAGAACCAGAGGUGGCAAAGGCCCUUAGUUAUGACAAGAAGGCAAAGGAAAGGAAACAGUUGCUGGAUCUUCUGCAGAGCAAAGGAAACCUCUUACACAAAGAUAUGGGUAGGAGUAUACCUUUAAGUGAAGCUCUACUACCAACUAAUCAAGCAAGUUCUCCUAAUUCAAAUAGGUCCUGUACUUCCAAACAGGAAACUCCUAAUCCUGAAUCUGUUAGCACCCCUGUAUCAGACACUCGUCACUGUACAACACAGCUUUACGCUGACCCAGAAUCUACAGGUUCUCCCUGUCAAGACUUGGGGUUAGUUGGUGAACAACUACUUGCUGAUCUUGAAUCGCAAAGUGAUCUCGCUCCAGACAUCAGCAUGGUCAGACACGACCAUGUGCACAACAAUCCAACCUGCAGCUCUCCAGCCUACGAUCAGACUGAAACAAGCAAGAGUGAGCACAAGAAAACUGACGCUGAGCAAAGCAGCCAGAACGGACACACGCUAGAGAAUAGGAGGAGAAGUUCUCGUAUUCAAGCUCGGCCAAUGAGGGUGAAGGACAACUCUUCAGAUAAAGUGGCGAGAAGGGCACGGAGCUCAAAACUGCACGUUUGUCAGCACUGCAGCGCUACCUUCUGCAGUUCCUACAACCUUCGCAGACAUGAAUACACUCACACGGAUGAAAGGCCUUACUGGUGCAGCCAGUGUAAUAUAGGCUUCAUUCAGAAAUAUCGCUAUCGUAACCACAGAAUAACCCACCACGGAGAGAGACAGUCAUGCAAGUACAAGAAUCCAUCAAAAAGGUGCAAAAUACGAUCUCACAGUGGAGAGAAGCCAGUGGAGAAUGAGCUUCAUCAACAGCAGUUAGACGAUAGCACUGCAGCUACAUCUGAGCUUUCCAGCAAUGCUGAAGAAAGACCAGACUUGACAGAUAAAGACACAGGAAGUUUGAGGAUGGUCCACGAUGAAUAAUUACCUGACUGCAGACAGAUAUCAGACAGUUUAUCUCAGAAAAGGUGCCUCAAGAAGUAUUUGCAACAUAGAAUGGAAGAAGAGGGGGUAUGAAGAAGAAAACGGGUAUGAAUGACCAUGCUGGGAGUCCUCUAAUGGUAAGAAGUCUUUGAGCAAAGCGAUAUACACGGAGAUUCCCUGAUCCACUAAAAUGUAGCAAACCCUUAGCCCAGACUGUCGAGUACCAACAGCACCUCUUCAUAUUCAGGUAAGAGGCUGCACCGUUGCCCCAUGUGAUCUAGAUGCUUCUACCACCUGGAAGACCUCUGGAAGCACCAGCAGACUCAUGAAGGCAUAAAGCAGCAUAGAUGUCGGCUAUGGCUCAGGUGGUAGAGCGGGUUGUCCACUAAUCGUAGGGUUGGCGGUUUAAUUCCCGGCCCGCAUGACUUCACAUGCCGAAGUGUCCUUGGGCAAGACACUGAACCCCAAGUUCAGUGUGGCAAAUGGCAGGUUAGCGCCUUGCAUGGCAGCUCUGCUACCAUUGGUUUGUGAGUGUGUGAAUGGGUGAAUGAGACACAGUGUAAAACGCUUUGGAUAAAAGCGCUAUAUAAGUGCGCCAUUUACCAUUUAGAUGUCCGUAGAUGAGUUCUAGCGAUGUGCUUAAUUAUGGCUUUCCUUUACAGGCCUCAACCCCUUUUCAGUGCAAAGUGGGUUUUCAGCCCCCAUUAUAUCUGUGAAAUCCAACACAGUGCCUCUAGAAAUGGCAAAAUGGCAGUAUAUGGGAGGUAGAUGCCAACAGCAGGAAGACAGUGCUGACCCAGAGGUUGGCUCUGGUUAUCACCCAGGACCUCAGCCUGUUUUAAAAUCAAGCCUAAAUCAUAGGAAAAAUUAAACCGGUCAGAAAAAGAUCUCAUUUUCCAUCUAAAGUCGAGCCCUUAAAUACAAUCUUAACAUUAAAAUUAAGAUAAACAAAAAAAGACCCUUACCUAUCAGCAAUUUCUUUUCUCCAUCGGUAUAUCGACAUGAAAUGACUGGUACCUUUAUGAACCAGUUACCACAAUAAAAAAAUGUUUUGACUGAAUAUCGCUUGUUCCCCAAAAUUAAAAUUGAACAACAACCUAUCAGUUCUGGGGGUGGUCUAUAAUACAUCAUUAUGGCUAGGCCAACCCUUAGAGCCACCCCUGAGACCUGUUUCACAAAGCCGGUGGCUACCCAGGUAAGUUUGAGUUUAGUUUGAGCAAAGUCUGUUUUUUCGGUCUCAUCAAGGUGGAUUGGUUUUUAGUGGGUUUCAAAGCCAUGGUAACUUACACUACAUGGCUAACCUGCUCCGGAGCAGGUUGUAUUGUGGGUAAGAAAACUCAAACCCUACUUGGACCAGUCAGCUGCGAGCAAAGUGAUACAGGCUAAAUCUGACACAUCAAAGUUGAUCCUUUAGGGGCUGUAGAGGUGGCUUCACCAUUUAUGGAGCUCGGAGCACAAAUAAUAAAGACACUUCAAAGGGAAAGAACUUUUAGGGUCAGACACAAUCCCCUGGCUUUUCCCGAUGACCACCUGUAUGAAAUAUAUGGAUGUUUGGCAGAGGGUACAGUUCAUCUAUGCUUGCUUGUUGUGUCGAACUCUGUUUCCCAACCGGUAUAGUUUUCCCCCAGCCCCUCCCAAACGCCAAAAAAAAAAAACACUCUUACACGAAAAACUCGCCCUUGAGAUGCUGUGCUCGUACCAAUGAGGUACUAUGAAAAGCCCUAAGGCUCAAAACUAACAUUUUUAAGGACUUUAAUCUCUAGAAUGUUGUAUUCCAGAAGUGAAAGGUAUAUUUCUCAACUGUCUAGUUAUAUUUUGAAAAUGGGGUAGCAGAACUUAUGUUUGUUGUGUUUUUUAAAAUGUUUUUAUUAACAUAAACACCUACUGUUAUUUCUUUCGAUAAAUAAUGUUAUAUUCAUGAGAGCUUUCAUUUUGAAUAUUGUAGACUUCUACAAGAAAUGUGUGUUCACUCACAUAACUGAUUUUCUGGGCUAAAUAUGUGACCAUGGAACAGUCCUUAAGACACGGACAGUUUACAGGUGGUAGGUAAUUAAGGUCACUGUUACAAUAACUUAGGACACUAAAGAGACCUUUCUACUGACUCUGAAAAACACCAGAAGAAAGAUGUCUAGUGUUCCUGCUCACCUGCGUGAACAUGCCAUAGACCUGCUGCAGGGAGGCAUGAGGACUGCAGAUGUGGCCAGAGCAAUAAACUGCAAUGUCUGUAAUGUAAGACGCCUCUACAGGGAGACAGGAAGGACAGCUGAUCGUCCUCGCAGUGGAAAAUUACAUGUAACCAUGUGUCCCCCAGACAUGAUCGAGAACUUGCAGAUGCCUUGGUGGAAGAGUGGAGUAACAUCUCACAGCAAGAACUGACUAAUCUGGUGCAGUCCAUGAGGAUGAGAUGCACUGUAGUACUUAAAGCAUCUGGAGGCCACCAGAUACUGACUGGUACUAUUAAUAUUGUAUUUUUUACAAUAAUUUACAACCCUCCCUUUGUUCAUGGACUCAUUACUCCAUAUCUGUUUGUCAAAUAUCUGUGAAACUUGUUCAGUUUAUGUCCGUUGUUGAAUGUUUUUAUGUUAAUACAAAUAUGUUAAUACACAUACGGGGUGCAACUGCACAUUUGCUGAGGGGUAUACGAGAUCAAUGUUGGUGCCCCUCAAAAAAAUUUUGCUUUAACUUAAUUUGGAAAAAUAAAUCUCACUAUGUAAAUAAAAAUGAUUUGGUAUGCCAUUAUGAAGAUAAUUCAAAAGUAACUGAUUUAGAAAUAAUGAAUAGAGUUUUUAAGAUUCAGAUUGAGAUCAUUGUCUCUUCUUCAGUGUUUGAGAAACUGGCAGGCACAGUAUGGAAUUUUUACUAAAGUGUGAAUUUGAAAUUUCAAAGCUGCCUUCAAAAUGAUCCACCUUUCAUCAGCAAGUGUUCUUAUGUUGUAAACUGGCAUAUUCACACAAUUUCAGCCCUCACAAAACUUCUGUUUGGAAUAAUUGUUUUAUUGCACACCGUAACAAAUCUUUGUUCUUUGAAAAAUGGUUUAUUCUGUGAAUGAUAUAAUAGAUCAUCAUGGAAAUGUUUUUAGCCACAUUUAUUUUUGCUUAAAACACGGAUUUGGGUCACUUUAAGGAAUUUUAUGUAGUUUCAAAUGCCAUCCCUAAGAAUCUGAUAGUAUUGCUAAAAGGCAAUUCUUUCAUAUUCUAAUGUGACACCUUCACUCCUGGCUGUAUGCAACCACCACACUGUGUGGUGUACUCGAUUACAAAAAAUCUAUGUAUCUUAAUUAAAGAACAGGUAUUAGAAACUGUCCAUCCAUCCAUCUUCUAUACCACUUAUCCUUCCUUCAGGGUCACAGGGAAACCUGGAGCCUAUCCCAGGGAGCAUCAGGCACAAGGCAGGGUACACCCUGGACAGGGUGCCAAUCCAUCGCAGGGCACACUCACAUACACAUUCACACACCCGUUCAUACACUACCAGCCUACCAUGUAUGUCUUUGGACUGGUGGAGGAAACCCCUGGAGAACAUGCAAACUCCGCACACACACAGGGCCACGGUGGGAAUCGAACACCCAACCCUGGAGGUGUGAGGCGAACAUGCUAACCAUGUGCCCGGGUAACACUGUAUUUUAAAAAAAUUUCCCACAAGUGUGUGCAGAAUAAGAAGAAAAAAUACAAAACAUACAUUUUUCUGUCAUGUAAACAGGGACUGGAGACAGAUGCAAGUGAAGUUAAAGCUUUUAAUGAAGAUCGGCAGGCAGACAAAUUCAAAUCUAUGGCAAGUUCAAGGUCAAAACAGGCGAGGGGUCAAGCGAGCAGCAAACAGGGUAGACAGGGCACAGGCAGAACAUGAAAACGAGAAACUGGGAACAAGAUCAAAGAACCUGAAACGAAACACUGGGAACACAGAUGAAGACACUUGUCGAUUUUGUCAGAGCGAUAUUGAAAAC